UCUCUUCGGCUGCGAGACUGCUUGGGCGGCGGCGACGAUGGAAGGGUUUCGUUCUCUUCUCUUCGAUCAAAAAAAGUAUCAGUUCGAUUCUUGAGGUUUAGUCUUCUACGGUAGGAGAUGAAUAUUUAAAGUGUAUUAUCAUAUGGAAUUUCAGUAGGUGCGUUUGAUUGGGUAUUGCGUAGAGGGCUCUCUUUUUCUAGUCUAUGAAUUUAUCGAGAAUGGCAAUUUAGAUUGAAGGCAUUGUAUGACAAAUUUAAUUCUAGAAUUGAAUAUAAGACUCACCUUGUUUUUGUCUCAUUGUUAAAUUGUGAACAAAUAAUAUUUCUAUGUACUCUCAGCCUCAAUUCAUCAUAUUUACAAGUAGAAAGAGAACUUGUAAUUUAAGUUGCCAAUGAUUGAGGAAAACAUUGUUGGUAGAGCUAGCUAUCUUCUGCUCUUCAUGUUUAUGCAAUCUAUAAUUAUUCUGUUUGUCAGGUAUUUGUGCUAAAUUUAAUUGAAUUACUUGAUGCAGGUUUUGGUUGUAGGUGGUGGUGAUGGUGGAGUUCUUAGGGAAAUCUCUCGCCACAAUACUAUUAUAUAAUUCCGAACGCCAUAAUUAAGUGAUCCCAUAGUUAAGCUUGAAGUUGCUCUUAAGAUUUUGUUGAGGGAAUAGUUGAUAUGAUCAAGCGGUUGAUGUUGGGAGCCAAAGAUUAUGUUGCUCUUCUUCUUCUUCUUCUUCUUCUUUUUCUUUUUUCUUUUUUUUUUGAAGACUUGAAUUUUUUAGUACAG
Molecule: non-coding RNA, 768 nt
Organism: Camellia sinensis
Lineage: Eukaryota; Viridiplantae; Streptophyta; Magnoliopsida; Ericales; Theaceae
Source: RefSeq, a predicted model, not a curated record